This 497-nucleotide ribosomal RNA is filed under the name Brevibacillus sp. HA-OP26. RNAcentral describes it as "bacterial SSU rRNA". It matches the Rfam family "Bacterial small subunit ribosomal RNA", at positions 966 to 1501 of the family's 1533-position model. Lineage: Bacteria; Bacillati; Bacillota; Bacilli; Caryophanales; Paenibacillaceae. The record is from RNAcentral.
UACCUUACAGGUCUUGAAUCCCGUGCCGCUUGGAGAAGAUUUUCCUUCGGACGCGGUGCAGGUGGUGAUGGUUGUCGUCAGCUCGUGUCGUGAGAUGUUGGGUUAAGUCCCGCAACGAGCGCAACCCUUAUCUUUAGUUGCCAGCAUUCAGUUGGGCACUCUAGAGAGACUGCCGUGGACAAGACGAGGAAGCUGGGAAUGACGUCAAAUCAUCAUGCCCCUUAUGACCUGGGCUACACACGUGCUACAAUGGAUGGUACACGUGCUSCUACCUCCGCGAGGGGGCAAAUCUCUAAAACCAAUCUCAGUUCGGAUUGAGGCUGCAACUCGCCUACAUGAAGUCGGAUCGCUAGUAAUUCGCGGAUCAGCAUGCCGCGGGAAUACGUUCCGGGCCUUGUACACACCGCCUGUCACACAGGGAGUUUGAAAACCCGGAGCGGGGUAACCACAUGGCAGCCCCAAGUGGGUUAGAUCUGAAAUGAGUCUAACAAGUAGCC